Molecule: transfer RNA, 124 nt
Organism: Hyphopichia burtonii NRRL Y-1933
Lineage: Eukaryota; Fungi; Ascomycota; Pichiomycetes; Serinales; Debaryomycetaceae
Rfam family: tRNA
About the family: Transfer RNA (tRNA) molecules are approximately 80 nucleotides in length. Their secondary structure includes four short double-helical elements and three loops (D, anti-codon, and T loops).
Source: Rfam
GCUCCAGUGGCGCAGAGGUUUAGCGCUUCGUGCUUAUAGCCGUGUUACGACGAUAUUGGUUAUACCAUAAGUCACGGUCGUGUGAGGAACGCGACGGUCGUGGGUUCAAUCCCCUCCUGGAGCA